RNAcentral lists this unclassified non-coding RNA (247 nucleotides) under Glomeraceae sp. Its description in RNAcentral is "partial internal transcribed spacer 2". Lineage: Eukaryota; Fungi; Glomeromycota; Glomeromycetes; Glomerales; Glomeraceae. The record is from RNAcentral.
GUGAAUCAUCGAAUUUUUGAACGCAAAUUGCACUCUCUUCGAUUAGGAUGAGUGUUUGAGGGUCAGUAUUAAUAAAAAUCGGCGCGUUGUUCUUUUGUGUCGUUCUGGAGUUUGGGUGAUCUUAUAAUAACACCCUUUCAGGUUAUUUUUAAGAGGUUUAACAUUAAUCUUUUUUGUGUAUAAUUGACGUACAUAAAUUUUUUUUUACUAGUCUAUCUUAAUGCUAAAUCUUCAUUAGAAGUGACCA